ACGAACGCUGGCGGCGUGCCUAAUACAUGCAAGUCGAGCGAGCGGAACCAACAGAUUUACUUCGGUAAUGACGUUGGGAAAGCGAGCGGCGGAUGGGUGAGUAACACGUGGGGAACCUGCCCCUAAGUCUGGGAUACCAUUUGGAAACAGGUGCUAAUACCGGAUAAUAAAGCAGAUCGCAUGAUCAGCUUUUGAAAGGCGGCGUAAGCUGUCGCUAAGGGAUGGCCCCGCGGUGCAUUAGCUAGUUGGUAAGGUAACGACUUACCAAGGCGACGAUGCAUAGCCGAGUUGAGAGACUGACCGGCCACAUUGGGACUGAGACACGGCCCAAACUCCUACGGGAGGCAGCAGUAGGGAAUCUUCCACAAUGGACGCAAGUCUGAUGGAGCAACGUCGCGUGAGUGAAGAAGGUUUUCGGAUCGUAAAGCUCUGUUGUUGGUGAAGAAGGAUAGAGGUAGUAACUGGCCUUUAUUUAACGGUAAUCAACCAGAAAGUCACGGCUAACUACGUG
RNAcentral lists this ribosomal RNA (511 nucleotides) under uncultured Lactobacillus sp. RNAcentral's name for it is "bacterial SSU rRNA". It matches the Rfam family "Bacterial small subunit ribosomal RNA", at positions 29 to 507 of the family's 1533-position model. Lineage: Bacteria; Bacillati; Bacillota; Bacilli; Lactobacillales; Lactobacillaceae. The record is from RNAcentral.